Molecule: long non-coding RNA, 454 nt
Filed under: Olea europaea (common olive)
Lineage: Eukaryota; Viridiplantae; Streptophyta; Magnoliopsida; Lamiales; Oleaceae
Description: long non-coding RNA (OEUR_LNC010935)
Source: RNAcentral
UGAUUGAUAGAUUCGUAGUAUCUUCCAAGUUGGAAUUGGAUUAAUAUGAUCUUCAGCGAUCGAAUGAUUCAUCUAUACAUAUACCGCACAAAUCAGUGAUUGAUUCUUUGCUUGCUUAAAUGUGCAGAACAAGAUGAAGGUCAAUAUCAAUGCCUCCAUUGGCAUCCGUUUACCAUGUCAACUAUUCAUGUCUGACCAAAAUAAUAGAAACAAUAUAUAUGUAGAGAUGUUAAAGUAAGCAACUUGAUACAUAGAUUUUUGAAUUCAACUUGUUAUUUGUGUUCAUAAAUAGGUGUACUUUUUCCCCUUUGGGUUUUUUUCGGAUAUUCUUGUCAUUUUUACAAGCCAUCUCUUGUAAAUGCAUUCAUGAGAGCGAUGAAAGUACAAAUUCAGGUCUAUGUUUUUCGUUUCUCAUUUCACAGGAUGUCUCUAAGGCCAUUUAAUCAAUUUUGUG